RNAcentral lists this transfer RNA (73 nucleotides) under Capra hircus (goat). It matches the Rfam family "tRNA". From Rfam's summary of the family: Transfer RNA (tRNA) molecules are approximately 80 nucleotides in length. Their secondary structure includes four short double-helical elements and three loops (D, anti-codon, and T loops). Further hydrogen bonds mediate the characteristic L-shaped molecular structure. tRNAs have two regions of fundamental functional importance: the anti-codon, which is responsible for specific mRNA codon recognition, and the 3' end, to which the tRNAs corresponding amino acid is attached (by aminoacyl-tRNA synthetases). tRNAs cope with the degeneracy of the genetic code in two manners: having more than one tRNA (with a specific anti-codon) for a particular amino acid; and 'wobble' base-pairing, i.e. permitting non-standard base-pairing at the 3rd anti-codon position. The record is from Rfam by way of RNAcentral. RNAcentral also lists the same sequence under 1 other name. Lineage: Eukaryota; Metazoa; Chordata; Mammalia; Artiodactyla; Bovidae.
UCCGUGGCAGUCCAGUGGCUAAGACCCUGCACUUCCAAUGCAGGGGACCCAGGUUUGAUCCCUGGUCAGGGAA